This 111-nucleotide small nuclear RNA is filed under the name Rattus norvegicus (Norway rat). Its description in RNAcentral is "U5 spliceosomal RNA". It matches the Rfam family "U5 spliceosomal RNA". From Rfam's summary of the family: U5 RNA is a component of both types of known spliceosome. The precise function of this molecule is unknown, though it is known that the 5' loop is required for splice site selection and p220 binding, and that both the 3' stem-loop and the Sm site are important for Sm protein binding and cap methylation. The record is from Rfam by way of RNAcentral. Lineage: Eukaryota; Metazoa; Chordata; Mammalia; Rodentia; Muridae.
GUACUCUGGUUCCUCUUCAGUUUGUGUAAAUUUUUCAUCUUUUACUAAAGAUUUCCAUGGAAAGCAUCCACUCUGAACCAAUGUUUUGAGACUUCAAAAUAGAAAGGAAGG